UACGAGUGCCCCAAGCGUUAUCCGGAAUCACUGGGCGUAAAGGGUGUGUAGGCGGUUGUGUUAGUCUUCUGUCAAAUUCUUCGGCUUAACCGGGGGUCCGCAGAGGAAACGGCACAACUAGAGGAUGCGAGGGGUGAGUGGAACUCAUGGAGUAGGGGUGAAAUCCGUUGAUAUCAUGGGGAACACCGAAAGCGAAGGCAGCUCACUGGCGCACUCCUGACGCUGAAACACGAAAGCGUAGGUAGCGAAUGGG
Molecule: ribosomal RNA, 253 nt
Filed under: uncultured bacterium
Lineage: Bacteria
Description: partial 16S ribosomal RNA
Rfam family: Bacterial small subunit ribosomal RNA
Source: RNAcentral